CUUUCUUAAAGGCCCAACCGCUCAGCGAUGACUCCAGAUAGAUUCCUUAACUGAACUUCAGCGGCUGCCUGCCGUUCAGACCUCUAAGACAUCGUCUUUUUGAAGUCUUCUACCAACAGAUCUCGCUGAGAAACAAUAUGAAAUAAAAAAUACUUUUUCCUCUAGGAUUUUUUUAGUAACCCAAGGGUGCUGUGUUUUCUUCUUGGUCUGCGUGAUAAGAAGAGUAACAGCUAAGGACAGUAGCACACAUGUGUAAUUCCAGAGGCUAAAGCAGGAGGAUUGCAAACUUGAGUAGAGCCUGGGCAAUUUAGAAGCUUAGCAAGACCCUGUCUCAAAACAGAAAACAGAAGAAGGAAGAGAUACCACACAGCAAUUACCUCUUAUGAAACUACUUUUUGGUAUAGAUGCUAAAGAAAACUAUUCACAAUUCUCUGGAAAUACUGAAAUGUUCUUCUUUUUGCCAAAAGCAUAUCCUUAGGAGGUCAAAUCUUCUUUAUAUUUCAACCAAAAAUAGCAGAUUGGAAGCAAAACCAGGGCCUGGUACAUGCUAGGAAAGCACUAUACCAUAGAGCUGUGCCCCCAGCCCUCAUGCUUUAAUACAAUCACCUGUGCCAUUGUCUCGAGAGGUGCCUGGAGGAGGUGAGAGAUUUGUUAGAAAGACUGUGUUGAUAGAUGAUGGUGGAUUUAAGCAGGCUGGAGCAAUGGAAGAGGAGUUAACAAUAUAACCACAAGCCUGGAAGUCACUUCAAGGAGUCCUAGUCCACCUUCCCACCCAGCCUUCCACCAACUCUGAGCAACCGGAAAAGGAAGUGUUAUUGCUCAGGAACAAGCCUGGUGCUGAGUACAGUGGCAAAUCUGAUCUGAAGUUACCUUAGAAGACCAAUCAUUGCAGGGCUCUCAAUCCUGAUCCACUGCGUCGGUGACAGUUGAGUGCCCCUGCUCGAGCUUGAAUGAACGACCCUCGUGUGUUUACAUCGGGAUCAGCUCCUUGAUGGUCUUUGGGGACUUCGCGAUCUGGGCACAACAUUUGGGGGCUCGUCUGGGAUCCCCAAGACCCUCAGGAUUCCUGUACCGGAGGGUGGAUGCUGGCUGAAGCAGCCGCCUGCGGCAGUCCUAGCAGUGUGCAAAAAAACCACCAGAGGAGACUGCCGGAGAGGAGAAACCAAAACAAAACCCACGGCGCCGCUUUACCCAGUUCUCCAAGGAGGAACUGAAGAAGAUCUCCUUUUCCCCCCCCUCCCCACCACCCGCACCCCGCUCCUCCACUCCCUCUGACCCCAACGGGGGUGGAGGGAAGAGCGUGGGCAGGGUUGGAGGGAGGAGCCCCGGCGGAGGCCGGGGAGAAAAUACAUGGCCGGGCGGACAUUGCUAGAGGAGAUGGCCCCGCCCAAAACACCCGCAACCACACGCAGCCUCGCCGGUGGCGGGGCCAGCAGAUUCCACUGUCUUCCCGUUGAGGGCGACUCGACCCCCUGAUGAACAUGGCAAUCAGCCUCUCCAGUAUUGGCCCUUUGCCACUAGUGACCUUUAUAAUUGGCGCACACAACACGCCAAGUUUUCUGACAAUCCCAGGGAUCUAAUUCAACUGUUAGAGACUGUUUUGUUCACCCACCAUCCCACCUGAAAUGACUGUCA
RNAcentral lists this long non-coding RNA (1635 nucleotides) under Heterocephalus glaber (naked mole-rat). Its description in RNAcentral is "lncRNA (ENSHGLG00000032336.1)". Lineage: Eukaryota; Metazoa; Chordata; Mammalia; Rodentia; Bathyergidae. The record is from RNAcentral.